CCUACGGGGGGCUGCAGUCGAGAAUCAUUCACAAUGGGGGAAACCCUGAUGGUGUGACGCCGCGUGGAGGAUGAAGGUCUUCGGAUUGUAAACUCCUGUCAAGUGGGAGUAAACCUGCGCGUUAACUGCGUCGCAGUUUGAGAGUACCACUAGAGGAAGAGACGGCUAACUCUGUGCCAGCAGCCGCGGUAAUACAACGGUCUCACGCGUUGUUCGGGAUCACUGGGCGGAGAGGGUAGUCAGAUGUGGAAUCCCGGGGCUCAACCUCGGAAUGGCAGCCGAUACUGCAUUGCUUGAGGACUGGAGAGGAGUCUGGAAUUCAUGGUGGAGCAGUGAAAUGCGUAGAUAUCAUGAGGAACACUAGUGGCGUAGGCGAGACUCUGGACAGUUCCUGACGCUGAGGCACGAAGGCCAGGGGAGCAAACGGGAUUAGAUACCCGGGUAGUC
This 447-nucleotide ribosomal RNA is filed under the name uncultured bacterium. RNAcentral's name for it is "partial 16S ribosomal RNA". It matches the Rfam family "Bacterial small subunit ribosomal RNA", at positions 338 to 795 of the family's 1533-position model. The record is from RNAcentral.